GUCUAUUUACGUAAUGAACUUUACGUAAUCACUGGGUCUAGUAGCUUGAACUUUAAACUCCUGCCUAAACACAGCCUUCUGUGGGAACUUCUCCUUGUUUUUCUUAUAGGCUUUAGAACCAUGGCCUUUUGACACUCCUCCAUAUUUACUUUUUUAUUCUGCUCAUGUAUUCAAUAAAGAUCCAUUCAGCACCUCUCUGUGUCGAGUACGGGGCUAGGCAGUAGUGGACAGACGGACAAACCUGCGCUCAAGCUGCUCACCAUCUGGUGGGAGAAGAACGUCAGGACAAACGAAUCAAGGUCAGGCAUUAACAAGGUCGGAGGGCUUGUGCUGCGGUCCAGAGCAGUCAACUCUCUUCUCACAAACGUCGCAGCACUACGUUGGUUCCACACCUCCUCCUCGGCUCCCUCUCUGCUGCAUUUUCCCCCUGUGGUUUUUUUCCCCUCAGUCAAUUAAAUAAUUUGGCUGCAUUGUCUUAGUUGUGGCACACGGAUCUGUUUUUUCUCUCUUUUUUUAAAUUAUGAGAGUAUGAUAACACAUUUACAGAAGGCUUGGAAAGUCCAGAACUAAGUUAUGUAUAGUUCCACUAUUUGGUUCAGUUCAGUUGCUCAGUCGUGUCUGACUUUCUGAACCACGGACUGCAGCACGCUAGGCCUCCCUGUCCAUCCCCAACUCCCAGAGCCUGCUCAAACUCAUGUCCAUCGAGUAGGUGAUGCCAUUCAACCAUCUCAUCCUCUGUCACCCCCUUCUCCUCCCGCCUUCCAUCUUGCCCAGCAUCAGGGUCUUUUCUAAUGACUCAUUUCUUUGAAUCAGGUGGCCAAAGCAUUAGAGUUUCAGCUUAGCAUCAGUCCUUCCAAUGAAUAUUCGGGACUGAUUUUCUUUAGCAUUGACUAGUUUGAUCUCCUUGCAAUCCAAGGGACUCUUAAGAGUCUUCCAAUACCACAUUUCAAAAGCAUCA
RNAcentral lists this long non-coding RNA (958 nucleotides) under Bos indicus x Bos taurus (hybrid cattle). RNAcentral describes it as "lncRNA (ENSBIXG00005021907.1)". The record is from RNAcentral. Lineage: Eukaryota; Metazoa; Chordata; Mammalia; Artiodactyla; Bovidae.